Mauremys reevesii (Reeves's turtle) is the source of this 248-nucleotide long non-coding RNA. RefSeq lists it as uncharacterized. NCBI's taxonomy places the organism in Eukaryota, Metazoa, Chordata, Testudines, Geoemydidae. The transcript is spliced from 3 exons. The record is from RefSeq and is a predicted model, not a curated record.
AAGUAUUCUAAGCUCUUCUCAGGAACAAAGUCUGGAGCUAGACAAAGCAUGACUUUAUCUGAAAUGAACUGCAGGUGUGGAGGAAAUGCCUAAAGAAACCACUAGCAAAGCAUUGUUCUAGAAUGCAGUCUAAGUAUUUGAAGAUCCAAGUUGCUGACAUUCCACCUCUAGAUGCAAAGCCAUGUGUCUUCAGCAAAAGGUCUACUCUUCCCUUCAGAUGUGAAUGAAGAUCAAAGGUUCAAACACAG